AUGGAGAAUGGCACACUCUUUGACCACCUGCACCCUUAUAAGGCCGGCUCCUCUUCGCUGUCGCCGGUGACAAUGUCCUGGAAGGUGCGCGCCAAUGUGCUCCUCGGCGUGUCACGCGCUAUUGAGCACCCGCACUGUCAUGCCAACCCAUCGAUCAUACACCGGGACAUCAAGCCGAGUAACAUCAGUUUCGAUGCUGGUUGGGCGCCACGUGUGAUGGACUUUGGCUUGUCGGUUGUCUGGGACAUGGCGAGUGAGGAGGAGGGAUUGGUUCUCGCCGUUGCAGGCACAAUGGGGUACGUCGCCAAUGAGUACGCCCUCUAUGGUUGUCUGACACCGGCGUGCGAUGUGUACAGCCUGGGUGUGGUGAUGCUCGAGGUUCUAACAGGGGAAAAGGCAUUUUCCCAAGAUGAUGAGAGGAUGAGUGCAGGAUUGGUUUCCUUCGCAGUCCCCAUAAUCGAGGAAGGUAAUUUUGAGGCGUUGCUAGACAGGCGACCGGUGCCGGAGCCAACGGCAGGGCACCUCAAGGCGCUGGAGCAGGUAGCGCAGACUGCACGAUGUUGUGUGUAG
Molecule: ribosomal RNA, 570 nt
Filed under: Triticum aestivum (bread wheat)
Lineage: Eukaryota; Viridiplantae; Streptophyta; Magnoliopsida; Poales; Poaceae
Description: partial small subunit ribosomal RNA
Source: RNAcentral